This 439-nucleotide ribosomal RNA is filed under the name uncultured bacterium. Its description in RNAcentral is "partial 16S ribosomal RNA". It matches the Rfam family "Bacterial small subunit ribosomal RNA", at positions 339 to 795 of the family's 1533-position model. The record is from RNAcentral.
CUACGGGAGGCUCCAGUGGGGGAUAUUGCACAAUGGGCGAAAGCCUGAUGCAGCAACGCCGCGUGAAGGAAGACGGAUUUCGGUCUGUAAACUUCUAUCAGCUGGGAAGAUAAUGACGGUACCAGACUAAGAAGCCCCGGCUAACUACGUGCCAGCAGCCGCGGUAAUACGUAGGGGGCAAGCGUUAUCCGGGUUUACUGGGUGUAAGGGGUACGUAGGCGGUUUGUUAAGUCAGAUGUGAAAAUCCGGGGCUCAACCUCGGAACUGCAUUUGAAACUGGCAAACUAGAGUGCAGGAGAGGAAAGCGGAAUUCCUAGUGUAGCGGUGAAGUGCGUAGAUAUUAGGAAGAACACCAGUGGCGAAGGCGGCUUUCUGGACUGUAACUGACGCUGAGGUACGAAAGCGUGGGGAGCGAACAGGAUUAGAUACCCCCGUAGUC